This 253-nucleotide ribosomal RNA is filed under the name uncultured bacterium. Its description in RNAcentral is "partial 16S ribosomal RNA". It matches the Rfam family "Bacterial small subunit ribosomal RNA", at positions 524 to 776 of the family's 1533-position model. The record is from RNAcentral.
UACGAAGGGGGCUAGCGUUGCUCGGAACCACUGGGCGUAAAGCGCACGUAGGCGGAUCCUUAAGUCGGGGGUGAAAUCCUGGAGCUCAACUCCAGAACUGCCUUCGAUACUGAGGAUCUCGAGUCCGGGAGAGGUGAGUGGAACUGCGAGUGUAGAGGUGAAAUUCGUAGAUAUUCGCAAGAACACCAGUGGCGAAGGCGGCUCACUGGCCCGGUACUGACGCUGAGGUGCGAAAGCGUGGGGAGCAAACAGG